AUUGAACGCUGGCGGCAUGCUUUACACAUGCAAGUCGAACGGUAACAGGCCUUCGGGUGCUGACGAGUGGCGAACGGGUGAGUAAUGCAUCGGAACGUGCCCAGAGGUGGGGGAUAACGCAGCGAAAGCUGUGCUAAUACCGCAUGUGAUCUGAGGAUGAAAGCGGGGGACCAGGCAGCAAUGUUUGGCCUCGCGCCUUUGGAGCGGCCGAUGUCAGAUUAGGUAGUUGGUGGGGUAAAGGCCUACCAAGCCGACGAUCUGUAGCUGGUCUGAGAGGACGACCAGCCACACUGGGACGGAGCCACGGCCCAGACUCCUACGGGAGGCAGCAGUGGGGAAUUUUGGACAAUGGGCGCAAGCCUGAUCCAGCAAUGCCGCGUGCGGGAAGAAGGCCUUCGGGUUGUAAACCGCUUUUGUACGGAACGAAAAGGCUCUGGCUAAUACCUGGGGCUGAUGACGGUACCGUAAGAAUAAGCACCGGCUAACUACGUG
RNAcentral lists this ribosomal RNA (492 nucleotides) under uncultured bacterium. RNAcentral describes it as "partial 16S ribosomal RNA". It matches the Rfam family "Bacterial small subunit ribosomal RNA", at positions 30 to 507 of the family's 1533-position model. The record is from RNAcentral.